Long non-coding RNA from Olea europaea var. sylvestris, 2427 nucleotides. RefSeq lists it as uncharacterized. The record is from RefSeq and is a predicted model, not a curated record. The transcript has 3 exons. Lineage: Eukaryota; Viridiplantae; Streptophyta; Magnoliopsida; Lamiales; Oleaceae.
CCCAAAACCAAAUUCAAUUGAAACAACCAUUCUCCGCCAUCAACAUUCACGAGAGGAACCUCUCACUUUUCAUUACCAAACUUUGAAGCAAAACCCACUAGCCCAGCAAUUCAAAACCCCAUCCAUAACUCCUUCCUGCCGGCGAUUCAACAAUUGGAAAAGGAAAAUCGCAAAUGACAAAAUCGCAAACGAUUCAGGCAGGAGCGCUGAUGCCUACUCCCACCUCUCGUCGUUGCUACUUGCUUCCAGUCCUCCACAGCCGCCCGACAGUAACAAUUGAAGCCCUAAACGAAGUGAUAAGAUGAAUUUUGAAUUCCCCGCUACUGACAAUGCAUGAUUGUGCGCCCACAUUUCGCAAAAAGCAUUUUCAAGUACCUAAAAAUCGUUAUGGAGUAUUUUAAUGGUUGAUAGUGGGAAGAUUUUUGCAACUCAUGCCUUGGGUUCUUGGCCGAGGUUCCAAACAUAAAAUUCUUAGCCCAAUUAAUUCAACAAAUAGUGUUCAGGUCCAUCCGAACUGAUAAGGCAAACGAAUAGUGGUUCAAUAUACAAGGGCACUUGAUUAGGUUCAAACUGCAAAAGUACGCGAUCGUGAAAGGAUUAAAAUGUGGUCUCAUUCUGGAAGGCGAUCAAUUUACUUGAUUGAUAGAAAAAAGGAGGCUCAAGGACAAAUAUUUCAAAUCGAUGGAGAAUAUUUCUUGUGCCAAACUCGAGAAGACUUUUCGUCGAUCGUUGAUGCUUCAAGCUGAUCGAUACAAGCUCAACCUUGCUCUAAUUGUCGAAGCAAUAUUUAACGCUCCAGAUAAUAAUAUGGUUCUUAAUACUGACACAUUGUCAAUCGUCGACCACCUCAACAUAUAUUUUGACUACCCUUGGGAUAGAGUGGGAUAUAAUUGUCUAUUGAGGGGAUUUAGGGGUAGUUGGGUAAGAAAAUUUCACGAGACUAAGAGAAAGAAGGAGAAGAAGAUUAGUUAUACAAUCCACGGCUUUUCCAUACUAUGCAUGUAUGAAUAAUUAUUUCAGAUGACUUUUCAUUAUUUUAAUACAAAUAUAUUGUUAUGUCUAUGGAAAAUCUUGUUACAAUUGCAUUUUUUUAGACAGAUGUGGGCAUUAAAGGUAGUACCUGAAAUUGGUGAAUGGUUUAGUUAGAGACCUGGUCAACAAUCGCCACGACUUCUUAGCUGGACGUCUAUAAAGCAACCGUAGCAACGUAUACAAUACAUUCUCAUUGUGUUGAAUGCAUGCAAUCUUUUCAUUUGCGUUGAAUGCAUGCAACCUUUUUAUUUGGAAACUGUAUACAAUACAUUCUCAUUGACACUCAAUUUAUGUUUUCACAGCUACAUGUGCAUACAACAUUGCGUCGCAUUGACGACGAGCAUACUCAAUCAUAUAUCUUCAUGCUUAUGCCGUUUGAAGAUCGUACUAUCCCUGCUUUGGACAACAUUGUUAGGAAUAUUAUCGUUCUACUGUUUCACACAAAGCACGUGGGCAGUGAAAGUAAUGAUGAAUCGUCUAUGGGGAAGGUAGCUGAAAAAAAAGACCAAAAAAAGAGGCUUGACGGAUGUGACGUCUAGUGGUGAUGACAAAUCAGGUGAAAAUAGUGAUCAUGACAAGUCAACUGAUGAUGACAGUGAAACUGGCAAAGGUGACAGUGGAGCUAGCAAUGGUAAACAUUCUUUUGGAGGGUAUACGAGUCAAUUUUCACGCCUUGCGUGCCCAAAUAUACUUUUUACGUGUAGCAUUGUUGACAUCGGACGACAAGCUACAACUUCUGGAGCAACUUGAACAAGAGCAAAAGUUGGGGAAUUGUUAUUGGAUCAAUGAAUCCUCAUUGAAAUGCAACUUCGGACCGUGAAACUUGAAAUCAAUUAGCAUAUGACCUCUGAAUUUGCAAGACCUAGGGAGUUCAUAUCCACACGUGACCCAAUCCAAUUCUAUCACCCCUACAACUACGAUAGAUGUCGACAAUGAGCCCAGAGUUACUGCAAAUUACAGCAAGGUAUGAGUGUUAAUUGUUUAAAAGUUCAUAUGGUAAAACAAUGUUGGAUACCGUCAUAGACACCAGCACGAUUCCGACGUUACUGACAUGGUCCUACCUAAUGGCGACGUCACUGAUUGUUGGUGGUGGCUAUCAUACCCAUCGAAGGCAACGAUGUGGUUAACACAAAAAGACGAUGAUCGACACGCGUUCGAGUUCUUGUAGCAUCUACCAGGACUCCAUACACUAGGGAGAGGAGAAAGAGAAUAAAGAAAUAAAUGAGUCACUGUUUAUUAGUACUAUGCUUGAAUCAAUGUAAUUUAAUACUAUCAAUCCCAUAUUUGAUUUAUAGUUUAUGGUUUACGGUUAUCUUUGUAAGGCAAAGUGAUCUCAUGUUAAGUAAGUUGUAUAUCUACACUCAAUUUUGUGAUUGGAUUGAAUCUCUUGUUCUA